RNAcentral lists this small nucleolar RNA (107 nucleotides) under Gossypium arboreum. Its description in RNAcentral is "Plant small nucleolar RNA R71". It matches the Rfam family "Plant small nucleolar RNA R71". From Rfam's summary of the family: R71 is a member of the C/D box family of snoRNAs containing the C (UGAUGA) and D (CUGA) box motifs. The record is from Rfam by way of RNAcentral. Lineage: Eukaryota; Viridiplantae; Streptophyta; Magnoliopsida; Malvales; Malvaceae.
AGUCCAUGGUGAGGGCACGUUCUUAAGAGGUACUUGUAUCUCUCCCAUGCAUCAUAGAGUGCUUCUAGAUCCAUCUGCACAAAAGAAGAUAUAUCAUUCCUUAAUUU